RNAcentral lists this ribosomal RNA (497 nucleotides) under uncultured bacterium. RNAcentral describes it as "partial 16S ribosomal RNA". It matches the Rfam family "Bacterial small subunit ribosomal RNA", at positions 28 to 507 of the family's 1533-position model. The record is from RNAcentral.
GACGAACGCUGGCGGCGUGCCUAAUACAUGCAAGUAGAACGCUGAAGAGAGGAGCUUGCUCUUCUUGGAUGAGUUGCGAACGGGUGAGUAACGCGUAGGUAACCUGCCUUGUAGCGGGGGAUAACUAUUGGAAACGAUAGCUAAUACCGCAUAACAAUGGAUGACACAUGUCAUUUAUUUGAAAGGGGCAAUUGCUCCACUACAAGAUGGACCUGCGUUGUAUUAGCUAGUAGGUGAGGUAACGGCUCACCUAGGCGACGAUACAUAGCCGACCUGAGAGGGUGAUCGGCCACACUGGGACUGAGACACGGCCCAGACUCCUACGGGAGGCAGCAGUAGGGAACCUUCGGCAAUGGGGGCAACCCUGACCGAGCAACGCCGCGUGAGUGAAGAAGGUUUUCGGAUCGUAAAGCUCUGUUGUAAGUCAAGAACGAGUGUGAGAGUGGAAAGUUCACACUGUGACGGUAGCUUACCAGAAAGGGACGGCUAACUACGUG